ACUCACAUACAUAAUCAAUCAAUUGGUCAUAUAUAAUUAUAGUGAUAGAAUUAUUUUAUUGUUCUUGAUUACAUAGAAAUUUAUUAUAAUUUGGAAUGAAACCAUCAGACUCUAUUUAUAUGUGCAAAGUAAAGUAGAAAAGCAAAAGUUCAGAUAAUUAAAUCUAAGUUCCGAAAAAAGUUGCUUCCAUUCUCUUUAAAUAUUUUUAACAAACUCAGGAGGAAAAUGGAUUUAGAAGAAAUUAUGUGGACUAGUUUAUUUGAAUUACUUAGAUAAUUGCCCUAAACUAUGUAUAAUUCAAGCUUAACCUCAAUUCACUCUAGUUUGAUAACAAAGAGCAACCUCAAAAAUAAAAGCCAAGAUUUCAAUAAAAACAUAAUCUCUUAUUGAAGAAUUCUCCUUUCAAAAAUAAGCAUUUAGAAAGAAGUUAAUUUUUCUCUACUUUUGCUUUAUUAAUCUAUCUCAUGAAAGAAAUCCAUCUCUCUUGUAUAAGAACUAUAAAUCAUAUCAAUGGUAUAUCAGUUCUUUUCAGUUCAUUUUUCUUAGCAGCUACAUCAGAAACUUUAUCAUUUAAAUUUUAAUUCCUAAAUGGACACUAUUGAAAUAUUCAGGGAUUUAGUCUUAAAUCCUUAAACCCAGAGGGAGCUCGGGAAUGUUGCUAAAGUAGAAAGCUGCACAAAAUCUCAACUCUCAUUUGCAAAUUUUCUUUCCAUCUAAUUUAACUUUGAAGCUUUUAGCCUCAGAGACUUUACAAUAUGACAUCAACAAAACACUUCAAUCAAAAUCAAGUAACCUUAGCAUUACACAGUUCUCUAGAUUAUUAAAAAGGUAAAAAGAGGCAUUAGCUCUCUCUUCAUAUUUCUUUUUAUUUUCUCUUGAUGCAAGACAGAAGACAUAUAUCAAAAGAAAUUGCCCUGAAAUAUCAUUAUCCCCAAACGCCGGUUUUCAUUCUAGGACACUUGCUUAUAAACUAAGCCUUUUCCUGACAUAAACAGUCACUUGCUGCAGUGCAGAAUGUCAGUUUAGUCAGUUAGAACUUUCAAUGCAGAAAUUCAGUGCCAUGCAGUCACGCAGAUCGAGAGCAGCACUUACCUUAAUUGAAAUAUUCUCUGUGAACGAGCAUAUUCAAGGUCUUUCUUCCGAAUAUGGGCAAACAAGACACUGAGUAGAAAGAAUAUGCCACUUAGACCUGAAACCACUUUACUACCCUGACUGUGGACAUCAAUGAACAGCUCUAAAACUUGAAGUGUAAGAAGACUCUUAACUUACGUUAAAACAAGCCUGAAUGAGCUUGAAAGCUGACUCUUCCUGGGAGCCUCCAGAUAAGAGGCCAGCCUGGUUGAAACCUUGACUUCCACAUUGGGACACCCCAGUCAAAGACCCAGAUGAGCCUGCCUAGACUUCUGGAAUACAGAAAUAAAGCUUUGUUUGAUUUAACUUACAUUUCAAGCUCACGUCUGAAAUAUGUGCCCGUGUAGUGGUCUUUCCUUCUGCAUCUGCAGCUUAUCCUGCACUCCAGAUACUCUGUGUUUAGUCUGUCAGCGGAGUCAAGAACGUCAACGUCUUAACACCAGGUCUUCAAGGGCAAUAACAUGCAUGGAGCUGUCAUCUCCUAUGAAAACAACGCCUUCUUCUGGAAUACCUCCUAAGGACCUGCCUGAAGCUUUUCUUGAAGAGAUAUGCUUCCAAAAGUAAAGACACAGUCAAAGAGAAGUGAGUUUGUAUCAUGAUUGGAUCCAGGAAUUAAAGAUUUUGGAAAGAAAAAGGUCGGGUGGACACUCUAUUUCAAGAUAUAUCCUACUUAAAUCAUUCAGAGUCUGUAGGCAACCGUUUUCAAACCACACUAAUGCUUUUAUGUAAAGUAACAACAGAAAAAAUAGAAAGGAAAGAAAUGAAAAGAGUACGAGAAAAAGAAAGACAAAGGAUUCCAUUGCAACAUGAAUACUGCCAUUCUGGAAAAUUCAGGAGAAGCCAUUCAUAUAGAAAAGCUAUUUUAAAGAAUGCAAGGUCAGGAGUCUACUAUUAAAUACAAGUCAAGCACUAUAAUAUAUGCUAAAAGUCAAAGAAAAUCUCAUCACCCUAAUAACAUCCUGGCCUUUUUGUAAUUCCAUUCCACUUGGGGAGUAUAUGCAUCCAUGUUUUUAUCAGAUGUAAUGAUGCAAUUUUUAUUUUGAUCUUAUUACAUCUUAUUUUAAAACUUUAUAGUGUUUAUAUAGCCAUAAUAAUGAUAAAAAUCAUAAUCAUAAUAAUAGCUAAAACUUUCAUAGCUCUGACUAUGUGCUUAAAGUAUCCUUAUUUCAUCUUCACAACAAUUUCCCAGUUAAGUAUUAUUAUUAACUCUACUUUAUACACAAGAGGGAACUUUAAAUUAGUGAGUUUAAGUAACUGGCUCAAGUUCUCAUGAUUAUGAGAUAGUAAAGCUAGGAUUCAAAGGCAGGCAACAUAUCUAUAUUAUGUGUUCUUCACCAAUGUGUUAGAUAUUUCUCAUUUAAUAUGUCAAAAAAAUUGCUAGUUUUUUUUUAAAAACCUAUUUCUCUACUGUUUGAAAGAAUGGUUAUUUCCUGUCAUUCCUUUUAAGAAACCACAUCACUUUGAACAUCUCACAUACGGGUCUACUAGUUUUCUAUCGUUUCCUAGGGACUGAUGAUUGGAAAUGAUAUUCCUGAAACAAAGAUGUAUGCACCUACUUUACAUAUAUUUUGAUCGUGUUCUAUUUACUGAAUAUAACUAUUAACCUAUAUCCUUGUCAACCUAAAAUUAGCUAUGUGUGUAUGUACACACAGGCACAAAUACACACAUGCAUUUCUAGUUGAACAGCUAGGAAAUGGGAUCUUAUUUAUUUUUUAGCCAUUUGUGAAGUCGAACAUUUUUAAAUGUUUAAAUAAAUUUAUUUCCUCACUUUGCUCAUAAUCUCUCUCCAUACUCUUUCAUUACUUCUAUAUUAUGUUAUGUAAAUUAAUUUGCAUUUGCAGUAAAAUUUACUAGGUUUAGUGACAGCUUAAUUCUAUUCAUAAACAGAGAAGUCAGGCAUAGAGGUAUGAAAAUGUUCAGUACAUACAAGACAGAGUCAGAAAUUUAAUUUGGCUUGGUCUAAAUCAACUAAGGUGUGGGGGUAUUUGUCAGGGGCCGUUGGUAGGAGAUAUGACUGGGAACGGUUAUGACAGCAAGGUCACAGUCUUCACAUGCCAGCAGUUUUGAAACUUUGAGUAGUUUGAUAAUGAAUUACAUCUUCCUGAGCCAAUUAGAGAUAUGACCACAGCUCAGAUCUUGAAUGGUGAAGCCGUCUGCACUGGGGAAGAGAACUGGUUCUGGAUGAGAAUCUAAAUGAGAUGGACUUGUCCUCUGCUCCAUGGGUUCAGGGAUCACAACUAAGGGUUCAUGAAUUUGGGUGGAAACUGUUUACAUCUUUGUUCUCAUUAUUCUCUAACAGAAAUUUAGUGUUUCCUUCAAGUAAGUAUUUAGGCAGCAAACCACAGCAGUGGUGUCAAUGUCUGUGAUUUUAUUGCUGAAACAAUCUUAGUUAUUUUCAUUUCACCUACAGUUGUUGCAAAUAUCACAAAAUGUUUUUUAUACUUACUUGUAGUAAUUAUUAGGUCCACUACUAGGGUUUUUUUUUAAUAUAUUAACAAUUACAUGCAUAUAUUACUAUGUCACCUAAUGUAAAUAUUGAUAAAUAUAUUUCAGAUAAAUCUGGGUUUUUUUAAUCCAAGUUUUUCAUUUGAUAAAUUUAGAAACACUAUUCUGAGAAGGGGUCAGACCCCUGAAGGCUAAGAGCCCCUGAGGGAGUGUGUGAUUUAAAUGAUGUUCAGACAAUGAGGGUCUGCCCAGGACGGAAGUAUCUAAAAGGUCACACAGCAUAAAGCGGGCACAAGGGCUAAUUCUCUCUCUCACUUUAUAUCUAGUCAGUUCAGUGAGGUUAGAGUGGGCAUUUGGGGUCUUAAUUCAUCUCAAAAAGACUAGAUCCAAUCUUAUUUCAUACCUAGCUCCCGAAAGUCCAGGACUGUGUUUUACAGGAAUUUAUUUAUAGAAAGAAAAUGAUCACAGAUAAUAUUAUGGGUACCGUCAAUGCCCUCUGAGGUAUGUGAUGGUAGAUUUUGAUUAAACUUGAUAGCAAUUUGACUAUGAGAUCAUGUUUCACUUACUUGGUUGCAAUAUAAGAUUUUGCUUUCUCAAUAUAAGAAAGAAAUUUCUUCUUCCUUAACCAUAACUUUUUCUGGUAUUGCACGUGUAAGGCAAGAAGUGUGAGCUGGCAUGGGCCCUGCUGGGAAUCCAAUCUGCGUCUGCAAUGUGUUAUAGGCCUGUCACCCCAAAUUGUUUAUGGCGAGACAUUCGUAGACUUAUAGACAUUUGUCAAGGUCAUGCUGCUGUAAAUGACCCUCAGUUUGGAAACUGAGAACAAUCUUUUCACAAUAACUUUUCUCCGAAUAGUUUCUGUUAGCUUCAAGUUUUCUUAGCUACCUGAGAAGCUAGCCACCAAACUUCAAGGACAACAAAUUAAAUCAGACAAGAGCUCUGGCCAGAGAACAGCAGAUGUAUGUGACUCGGUCUCUGACAAAAUGCUACAUACAAAAUAUGAGUGGGGUAUCUGUUAUGUAUAACAUCUAUCGACAGAAGGUUAGAAUGCUUAGGAGAAAUGAGGAAAAGGAAAUUGGAAAUAGGAGAAAUAUGGGCUACUUUUUAAAGCAGAAAUUAUAAUGACUGAUUGUAAUGCAAACUCUUUUUUCUCGCCAAUUAGUGUUAAGAAAUCAGGACCUCUGGAAAAUCUGAAAUAAUCAGUUGUGAUGCAAUUUUGGUAUAUUUUAACAAUCUAGUUAUAAUUUCUUCAACUUCUAGAAUACUUAACUAUUAGGCUUGUUAUAAUUACAAUUCAACUCUCUCUUUAAAGAACAAAGUUCUUUUUCUCUCACAUUUAGUUUUCUUAUUUAGGAAUAGAAUUGAUAGUGAGAAUAUUUAGCCUCUUUUAUCUGGGUAUAUUAUUUUGACAAUAAUCAAUUAAUUCAUUGAAAUCUACUCAUUUUAAAGGAUACUAGUUGAAGAUGAGAAGACAUGGUUUCUGUCUUCCAGGAACUCUCAAUCAAUUGGAAAGACUGCUGUGAAAACAACUUUAUAAUACAAAUUGGGAAAAAUGUACCAAAAUAGAAACUAACUCAAUUGGUGUCCCCCUGACUCUGGACAAUAACAGCCUCCACUCAAAAGGAGUGUUUCCUACUCUCAAGGAGCUCUAAGAUAGGAUAGAAGGAUUUAAAUAUUUUGUUGCCCCUUGCAAAGUUAUCAGGCCCCAGGCCCUGUGCCUGCAACACCCAGUGGAUGGGCAUGCCGCUGAGAACACUGAGGGAUGAUGUACUCAUGCAGUGGCCUUUAGGCCAGACAGAGAGAUUUCUGAGAUUCCACGGAGUUGCUGAUGGAGGCAAGGGUAGCCCACAGCAGGGAACUUGCAUGGACAAAGUCUUGUGGAUGGCAGAUACUGUUGGCAGAGGAAUGUGUAGUUCAGCGAGAUUGCCAAGCUAUGGAGUCUCCAGGCAACUGAGAACGUUGUUGAAAAUUUCAAAGCAAGGAUAGCUACUAUCCGAAAAUUGAGUCACCUACUAAUUUCCAGCUACAAUAUUUGUUAAUUAUAAGAUUAAGAACGGUCCAUGUACAUCUUUUUAAAAUUAAUGUAAUCAUAAAGAGUGAUUCAUCUGUAAAAUAUUCUCAUAGUUGGCAUAUCUAUGGGGAAUUAAUAUUUCCCAAAUAUGGUCCAGCCUUCCUUUUAUUAUAAGUUACAAUUCACUUUAGGCUUUAAAACCACUUAAGAAAAUAGUGGAGUCAGAUUGUUUCUUUCUAAGAUUAUUUUCCACUUAAUAAGUCACAUGAUGUUAGUUAUUAAAAAAUGAAUCAUUCUUAAUUAGAUUAGUCCCUUUCUUCUUCCUUCCUUCUUUCACGCCUUCUACAAACAUUUAUUUCAUUUACACAAUACAUAUAUCCAAUAUUGUGCUAUGAGGGCUGUGGAAACAAUGAUAAAUAAUAAACAGUUUGUUCUAUCAAGACAUCUUCUAAUAGUGGGGAGAGACAGGUUAAAAUAAUUAACAGUGUUUCAGAAACAGUUACAAAUGACAAUACGUAAUCACUAGGUAUAUGACAACACAUACUAGGUAUGACAUACUAGGUAUGACAAUACGUACUAGGUAUAGCAAGACCUAGUGAUUAUUUGGAUGGACAAUUGUUUUUGUCUGGGAGAGGGUAUUGUUCUGGGAAGAUCUGACAGAUUCAACUAUACAUGACAGGAUGCUAGAAACAGUGUCAUCCAUUUACCAUAGAAUUAAAUUCACUUCAAUAUGACCAAGCCUAAUAUAAUUUUCUUACAUGUCACUACUAUAUACACCCAUUUUUAGAGUGGAGAAGUAUGUAAAAGUCCUUGUGACUUAACUUUUCUCUGCACAUUUAAGGUAUACAUCCAUUUUUUUUUAGAAAUAAAUGAACAUUUGGAUUGCAGAAUACAAUUUAAUCUGUACAUAGAAUGUAUUUUAUAUAGUCUACUGAUCAAUGGAUAUUUCUAAAAGAAAAGCACUUAUAAGUGACUUCGAUAAAAGUAAAACCUUCUUUUACAUACUGAAUUGUUUCAACUCACUACGUUUCCAUUUAUUCUGGGGGGAAAAAAAGGAUUUCAUUAUCUGAAAGAGCCACUACAUUUUUUCUUUUGUCAAACAUAAUUUGGAGUUCUGUGAAUCAUAUUUUAGACCGCCUGUGAUACAUGCAGAUUAAACCACAUCUAUCAUUGUUACGCAUUUUUCUUUCAAAGCUACAAAAUUUUAAAAAGCCUCACAAUUAUGUACGUUUCUGCACUUUCUCAACAAAAACUGAGACACUUGGAGUUAGGAAGUUUUAGUCACCUUAGCUCCCUCACCACCACCUCUUCUGUUGUCUGCAAAACUACUUUGUUUUGUGGCAUAUCUUAUCACUGCUAAUGCAUGAUUAUCGUGUUUGUGUUUAUAGAGAAAGGAAGGAGAGAUUGGAAAAGCAAUAAAGGUGAAAAUCCAUUAUUCUUGGAGAAACUAGUUGAAUAAUUUUAUUCCAUUGAUUGACUGGCUAUACGUAAUCUGUCUUAAUUCUUCAGUACUCUGAACUCUAUACUGAGUGUUGGUCAAUAGGCCAUGACUUCUGGAAUCUGACAAAACUAGGUGAAAACUGAAAAAUUAGUGCAUUGCUUAUUUGAUCUAUAUGAUUAUGAAAUUGGAUUGCUAUGUUCCAGACUGAUAAAGACAGCCUUAUUUCAAAUCCUUAUUGCCAUUGAAUAACAUCUCAUUUCAGACGCUGUAUGCUGCCCACCAAGCAGUCAUCCUUUUUUUUCUUUUUCCCCUGAGGGACCUCAGCUAUGUUCAAAAGGUAUUUACUUCUAGAAGGUCCACCUAUUGAUUCAGGGUAGAAUGUUUUUGUAUCACUCUCAGGAAAAUUCUGAUUGAUAUUGACUAAUAUUAGUGAUCCCUCUUUAUAGCUCUCACCAACAAAUGACAGAGAGACAGAUGGCGUCCUUCAUAUAAGGUUCUCUUUCUCUUUAAAAGAAAGCAGCAAGAAGAGAGGCCUUUUAUUGUGUGUUUGUUGCCAGUUCCACCUCAAUGAGGGUAUCAAAAUACAGAGGAAGAUAAGACCAAGAAAAACAUAGAAAACAGAAUUGGAGCCUAGAUGUGGACUUCCCAAGUCUUUACAUUGGAAAAAAUAACAUUCUGUGCUUUUAAAUUGCAUUUUCUGUUUCCUGCAGUUUUAAACUUUCCAACUGUUACACAUAAACUUUGUGCUUAUAUAAGAUCAAUGUGGCAUUUCCAGGAGCAUCUAAGAAAGUAGAAUGAUCUUCAGCCACAACUUGGGAACAAUUAACAUACAUGUGGUAGGUAGGAAACGGGGAGUGUGUAAGGGAUAUGGGGAGACAUGAGGGAAAGUCUGUUAGAAGCGUCAACAUUGCCUUAAACCCACUAAUGGUCAUGCAGAAUGAGUCCAGUUAUUGCUUUGAAUAGAAAUUUCAAAGCAAUCUCUUUCUCUCUCGUUCCUUCUCUCUCUUUCACACAUACACACACAGGAAUUUGCAUAUAGAUAUG
This is a non-coding RNA of Equus caballus (horse), 8069 nucleotides long. The record is from RefSeq and is a predicted model, not a curated record. NCBI's taxonomy places the organism in Eukaryota, Metazoa, Chordata, Mammalia, Perissodactyla, Equidae.